UACGGAGGGCGCAAGCGUUGUUCGGAAUCAUUGGGCGUAAAGCGCGUGUAGGCGGCCUGGUAAGUCGGGUGUGAAAUCCCGGGGCUCAACCCCGGAACUGCAUUCGAAACUGCCUCGCUAGAGUCCCGGAGAGGAAGGCUGAAUUCCCGGUGUAGAGGUGAAAUUCGUAGAUAUCGGGAGGAACACCAGCGGCGAAGGCGGCCUUCUGGACGGUGACUGACGCUGAGACGCGAAAGCGUGGGGAGCAAACAGG
RNAcentral lists this ribosomal RNA (253 nucleotides) under uncultured bacterium. RNAcentral describes it as "partial 16S ribosomal RNA". It matches the Rfam family "Bacterial small subunit ribosomal RNA", at positions 524 to 776 of the family's 1533-position model. The record is from RNAcentral.